UUAGGGUUGGAAAAUCCGCCCUGCAUAAGACGAAGGCGUGAUGCGGAGCGAAAUGAAGUAGUGAAGCUGCGGCCCCUUCCUGUCGAGAAAAGCCGCUAUCGUGUAGCAAGGGCCCGUACCGUAAACCGACACAGGUGGAUGAGGAGAGGAUCCUAAGGCCGGCGGGAGAAGUGUUGUUAAGGAACUCGGCAAAAUGACUCCGUAACUUCGGGAGAAGGAGUGCUGCGCAAGCAGCCGCAGAGAAAUGGCCCAAGCAACUGUUUAGCAAAAACACAGGUCUAUGCGAAACCGGAAGGUGAGGUAUAUGGGCUGACGCCUGCCCGGUGCUGGAAGGUUAAGGGGAGAGCUUAGCAUAAGCGAAGGUUUGAACUUAAGCCCCAGUAAACGGCGGCCGUAACAAUAACGGUCCUAAGGUAGCGAAAUUCCUUGUCGGGUAAGUUCCGACCCGCACGAAAGGCGUAAUGAUUUGGGCACUGUCUCAACAACACACCCGGUGAAAUUGAAAUACCAGUGAAGAUGCUGGUUACCCGCGCCAGGACGGAAAGACCCCAUGGAGCUUUACUCCAGCCUGAUACUGGGAUUCGGUAUUGCAUGCACAGGAUAGGUGGGAGGCUAAGAACUUAUGGCGCCAGCCGUAAGGGAGCCGAUGUUGGGAUACCACCCCUGCAGUACUGGGUUUCUAACCUGCGCCCGUGACCCGGGCGGGGGACAAUGUCAGGCGGGGAGUUUGACUGGGGCGGUCGCCUCCGAAAGGGUAUCGGAGGCGCUCAAAGGUCUCCUCAGGAUGGUUGGAAACCAUCCAGAGAGUGCAAAGGCAGAAGGAGGCUUGACUGCGACACCGACGGGUGGAGCAGGUACGAAAGUAGGACUUAGUGAUCCGGUGGCAUAAAGUGGGAUUGCCAUCGCUCAACGGAUAAAAGCUACCCUGGGAUAACAGGCUUAUCACUCCCAAGAGUUCACAUCGACGGAGUGGUUUGGCACCUGAUGUCGGCUCAUCGCAUCCUGGAGCUGGAGCAGGUUCCAAGGGUUGGGCUGUUCGCCCAUUAAAGCGGUACGCGAGCUGGGUUCAGAACGUCGUGAGACAGUUCGGUCCCUAUCCGGCGCGGGCGCAGGAUAUCUGAGAGGAGCUGUCCUUAGUACGAGAGGACCGGGAUGGACCGUCCGCUGGUGGACCGGUUGUCAUGCCAAUGGCACGGCCGGGUAGCCAAGACGGGAAGGGAUAAACGCUGAAGGCAUCUAAGCGUGAAGCCCCCCUCUAGAUGAGAUAUCCAUACUCGAAAGAGUGAGAGACCCCUUAGAGACGAUGAGGUAGAUAGGGCAGAGAUGGAAGCACAGCGAUGUGUGGAGUUGACUGUUACUAAUCGGUCGAAAGCUUAAAAAA
RNAcentral lists this ribosomal RNA (1381 nucleotides) under metagenome. RNAcentral's name for it is "bacterial LSU rRNA". It matches the Rfam family "Bacterial large subunit ribosomal RNA", at positions 1527 to 2925 of the family's 2925-position model. The record is from RNAcentral.